AGUGUGUUGAAAAUGUCUCCAGGCGGAACUGCCCCGUGUGUAUGGAGGAUAUUCACACGUCCAGAAUUGGAGCUCACGUUCUUCCGUGCGGCCAUCUUCUACACAAAACCUGCUUCGAUGACAUGGUCAGAACAGG
This is a long non-coding RNA of Trematomus bernacchii (emerald rockcod), 136 nucleotides long. RefSeq lists it as uncharacterized. The record is from RefSeq and is a predicted model, not a curated record. Lineage: Eukaryota; Metazoa; Chordata; Actinopteri; Perciformes; Nototheniidae. The transcript is spliced from 3 exons.